Molecule: ribosomal RNA, 373 nt
Filed under: uncultured bacterium
Lineage: Bacteria
Description: bacterial SSU rRNA
Rfam family: Bacterial small subunit ribosomal RNA
Source: RNAcentral
ACAGAGGGUGCGAGCGUUAAUCGGAAUUACUGGGCGUAAAGAGCGCGUAGGCGGUUUUGUAAGUCAGAUGUGAAAGACCUUGGCUCAACCAGGGAACUGCAUUUGAUACUGCAAGACUAGAGUAUGGUAGAGGAAAGUGGAAUUUCCGGUGUAGCGGUGAAAUGCGUAGAUACCGGAAGGAACACCAGUGGCGAAGGCGACUUUCUGGACCAAUACUGACGCUGAGGCGCGAAAGCGUGGGGAGCAAACAGGAUUAGAUACCCUGGUAGUCCACGCCAUAAACGAUGAAUACUAGCCGCUUGGCGCAUAAAAGUGCUGGGUGGCGUAGCUAACGCGAUAAGUAUUCCGCCUGGGGAGUACGGCCGCAAGGUUA